GACGAACCGUGCGAACGUUGUUCGGAAUCACUGGGCUUAAAGGGCGCGUAGGCGGGCUGCCAAGUCUGGGGUGAAAUCCCACGGCUCAACCGUGGAACUGCCUCGGAUACUGGCGGUCUCGAGGGAGGUAGGGGCAUGCGGAACUGCGGGUGGAGCGGUGAAAUGCGUUGAUAUCCACAGGAACUCCGGUGGCGAAAGCGGCGUGCUGGACCUCUUCUGACGCUGAGGCGCGAAAGCUAGGGGAGCAAACGGG
RNAcentral lists this ribosomal RNA (253 nucleotides) under uncultured bacterium. RNAcentral's name for it is "partial 16S ribosomal RNA". It matches the Rfam family "Bacterial small subunit ribosomal RNA", at positions 524 to 776 of the family's 1533-position model. The record is from RNAcentral.